AACCCGCCCACCCCACCCCAGACCCCGCCCCGGGAGCACUGGCAGGGAGUCCUGAGGAAGGCGGAGGAGGAGGAGGAGGAGGAGCCUCGCCCACCGCGGGGCUCACGCAGCGCCCCCUGCUGGGCUUCCUCGGCCCCCGCAGCUCUGCGCCCUGCGCUGGGAACCCCGGCUUCGGCCCGCGCGGCUUCCAGCUGUCAGUGCGGCGCUGGACAGUCACUCUCCUCCAGCCCCAGGAAAUUUACCAACACGCAGCUGACAACUGACCGACCGGGCCGAGGCCCCGCAGGCCGGAGGAGGGCGGACGCGGAGCGGGCGGGGGCCGCGCGAGUCACGUGGGAGGCCGCGGACACGCGCCCCACGGUGCGGAGGUUUACCGGGGAGUGUCCAGGUGGGCGGGUGGGGAGAGGGCGCGGGUCCACGGUGGCCGUGGACGGAGGGUUCCGCGCGCGGAGGGGAGACCGCCCUGCUCCCGGCGGGAGGCGCCGUUGGCUCCGGGACGACCCGGCGACGUCCGCAUUUGCGUGAAUUCUGCUUUUCUCAUUGUAAUGGAAAUCAAGGGAAGACACUUGUCAUCUGAGAUGCUGACAGUUCAACCACUGGUGAGUAUGGAAUUCUUUUUAAGAAAUUGUUACCAGCAAUAGUUAGGUUCCUCUGAUUGGCUUGAGUAUUCUAAAGGCAUUCAGGAGUUAUUUAAAGUUAUGAGCACUAGUUAAGUUUCUCCCUGUCUCUGGGAUGGUCAUGGAAG
This 745-nucleotide long non-coding RNA is filed under the name Dasypus novemcinctus (nine-banded armadillo). Its description in RNAcentral is "lncRNA (ENSDNOG00000052865.1)". Lineage: Eukaryota; Metazoa; Chordata; Mammalia; Cingulata; Dasypodidae. The record is from RNAcentral.